RNAcentral lists this long non-coding RNA (2505 nucleotides) under Anthonomus grandis grandis. RNAcentral's name for it is "uncharacterized LOC126750355". The record is from RNAcentral. Lineage: Eukaryota; Metazoa; Arthropoda; Insecta; Coleoptera; Curculionidae.
UUGGUUUGUUAACUUGUUCUUGAAAGUUAUUUCGAAAAGUGAUAGAUAAUGCCUAAAAAAAGAUAUAAUAGGUAUAAUGAAGAAUCGCAGCUGAUGAUUUUAAAUAUAUUGGCUUUUUUUCAACUGGAAAAGGAACAAGUCCGAAACGGAAUUGCACUUCAAAUUGAGAAUGUGAUACAGCGAGCCGCAGAUGCAACAAAAUUGAGCACAACAACGAUCGCAAAUAUAAAGAAGAAUGGGAUAAAAUCAGAUCAGGAUGUAUAUCUUCCAAGCAAAAGACAGCAAAAACCAAAAUUACAACAUAUUUGAAACAUAGAAUUCGGGACACAAUUUAUUCUAUGUACGCCAGAAAAGAAUAUUGACUCCUUAAGAAGAUGGAUCAAUAGUAUAGGCUUCAAGUGGAAAAAAUAAAAUAACAGAAGAUAUUUAAUGGACUUGCCAAAUAUUGUUCAUAAAAGAAUUAAUUUUUUAAGGGAGUAUAUCAAAAAUAGAAAUGUAGGUCCAGAAGGUUUUACUCCAGUUUUCAUUGACGAGACGUGGAUUUUUAGCAAGGGAUCAUUUCGUAGUAGCUAGCAAGAUGACACCAAGCACACGGAUUCAAGGAAAAACAGUAAAGGUCAUCGUUAUAUCGUGGUCCACACUGGAACCAAAGAUGGCUUCAUCAAGGGUGCAAAUUUAAUAUUCAAGAGUGGAUUAAAGACGAAAGAUUAUCAUGACAAUAUGAACAGAAAAAACUUGAUUAACUGAAACUUGAAUCGAAAACUGGUUUAAAACUCAGCUGGUUCCAAAUAUUCCCCCAAAGUCAUUUAUAAUCAUGGACAAUGCAAGUUACCAUGAAAAUGUAAUGUUAAUGCAAUUGAAAUGGUUUCAAUUUCAUUAACUUGGUAAUGCAAUAUGGCGUGUUUUUUUUGAGUUUGUAUGUUUUAUUUUUUGGAAUGCUAUUUUCAUUUUAAUGUGUUAACAUAUUCCUUCAAGCUUUUUUUUUCAUGAACAAGUAAAUUAAAUUGUCAGUAUUUUUCCCAGUGAGCAAAAAUAAUUUUAUACCUAAUAUUCACAAUUUUUGUAAGCUCGGUUUUGUUACGUCUACUGCUCGUGGCAAAUUCUACUUUUCAAAUAUGUUGUAGAUUUGGUUUUUGCGGUCUUUUGCUUGCAAAAUAUAUAAGCAGCGUAAUCCUGAUCUGAUUUUAUCCCAUUCUUCUUUAUAUUUGCUAUCGUUGUUGUGCUCAAUUUUGUUGCAUCUGCGGCUCGCUCUACCACAUUCUCAAUUUGAAGUGCAAUUCCGUUUCGGACUUGUUGUUUAUGUCCCAUUAUUUAUGAUUAAUAAUAAUAAUAUACAAAUUCAAUAGGCCUACAAAUGGGUAUAAUUUCCACUAUAAAACCUAUAAUUAUCGAUGAGCAGCACGAUUUUUUUUUCCCAAACGAUCAAUUGAUUCCAACUUAGUUGUUUACUAGGAAUAUAUACUCUGUUCAAUAGAUUGUCAGACGCAGGUAGACUAUGUGUACACCGACUUCAGCAAAGCAUUUGACAAAAUUGAUCAUAACACUUUAUUACAGAAACUUGCUGGAGUGGGAGUUCAUGGAGAUCUCCUGCGGUGGUUGGCGUCGUACAUUUUUAAUCGAUCCCAGUAUGUCACUGUACAUGGCAACCAGUCCUCCACGUAUCCAGUUACCUCAAGCGUACCUCAAUGUUCCCACUUGGGGCCCUUACUAUUUAUAAUCUAUUUAAAUGAAUGAAUAUUACUUUAUGCAGACGAUAUUAAGAUUUUUGCUUCCAUUAAUAAUCUCGGUGAUUGCUUUCUCUUACAAAUUGAUUUGGACAGAUUUUGUGAUUAUUGUCAGAGAAAUAAACUUUACCUUAAUUAUGAUAAAUGCGCAUUCAUUAGUUUUAAACCUAAUACAAACCUAUUUCAAUUCGACUAUGGAAUUUUACUUAAGAGGACUGAUAAAGUGAGGGAUCUGGGUGUCAUAUAUGAUCAAAAGCUAACUUUCGCAGAACAUAUUAAUUACUUAAGCAUCAAGUGUAAUCGAAUGCUGGGAUUGAAGAAAUAGUAGGCUAUUCAUGUCUAAUAGCUCUCCAAAAGCAUUAUAUUUUGCCUAUAUUUAUAGUCGUUUGGGUUUUGCCUCCGUCGUCUGGGCUCCGCAAUACACGGUGCAUGCUAACAGAUUGGAAACAAUACAAAAUAAAUUUUUAAGAUUUUUGGACUAUAAAAAUACUGGUAUAUUUAACCUACAUGCUAAUUUAAUAGAACUUAGAGUUAUAUAUCAAUUAUAUUCACUCGAAACACGGCGCUCUCACAUAGACAUGUUCUUUCUCUAUAAAAUAAGUAACUAUCAGAUUGACUCGAGUUAUCUAAUAUCCCAAAUACCUUUUCAUAUACCUGAGCGAAAUGUUCGAAAUUCUUAUUUGUUUCCAGUCUGUUUGUAUAAAACUAAUAUAGCAAGGAAUUCGCCGUUAAGUCAUAUGCUUUCCUUAUAUAAUUCCAAAUUUUUUUCUGAAGAUUUAUU